GACGGUAUAGCUCAACUGAUAGAGUACAUGCUUGGCAUGUACGAGGUCCUGGGUUCAAUCCCCAGCACCUCCA
Transfer RNA from Camelus ferus (Wild Bactrian camel), 73 nucleotides. It matches the Rfam family "tRNA". From Rfam's summary of the family: Transfer RNA (tRNA) molecules are approximately 80 nucleotides in length. Their secondary structure includes four short double-helical elements and three loops (D, anti-codon, and T loops). NCBI's taxonomy places the organism in Eukaryota, Metazoa, Chordata, Mammalia, Artiodactyla, Camelidae. The record is from Rfam.